AAGCGCCUCCUCACAGUUCACAGUCAGUGUCAACGUCACCGUCAUUCUCCUUUCCACGCCCCCCUCGCUCGCUGAAGCGUGGCCAAGCGAGAGAAGGCGGGAGGGGGGGGGGAAGGUCGGUUGGGCUCGGAUCUAAAAAACACGCCGAGAGGGGAGGGAUUAAGAGCUGAUCUGUCAGGAGGCGAGUUGUUGCUCGCUUUUAACCUAGGGUUACGAUGUUAGCGGGCCAUUUCUUCUCGUUUCGAAUGCGCUCUGAAAUCAAAAGACAAAGGUUGGCCUGUGCGUGUCAAAGCCGGACAUGUUGCAUGUUCCCUAGCUGGUCAUUGGGAAAUGUAACCACAAAGGAAAAUGAGGAAAGCCUUCAAAUUGUUAAGAAGAAAGGAAUAAGAAAGAAUAACUGGGAAGCUCAAACCUUAAUUUAUAAUUUGGCAUAGCAAUUAAGGCACCAGAUUGAAAUUCAGGAGACUGAGUUCUAGUCUCUUUAGACAUGAAGGCUGGAUGGGUGACUUUCAAGAAUUUCAACUUUUGUAGCAUCUAAUGCUUUGUGCACUCCCCCUCCCCUCAUGGAGGUUUGGCUAUAUCCACAGGACUGUUACUAUGAAAUAAUCCAGGAAUUAUACUUGUGCAACAGCACUACUUAGCUGGUGGUUUCUCAUCAGGCAGAAUGCCUUUUUCCUCCUAAACAUUGUUGGAGAAAGAGAGCAUUCUAAUAAAUGGAUGAAUUCUUAACAUA
This is a long non-coding RNA of Crotalus tigris (Tiger rattlesnake), 733 nucleotides long. RefSeq lists it as uncharacterized. Lineage: Eukaryota; Metazoa; Chordata; Lepidosauria; Squamata; Viperidae. The transcript has 2 exons. The record is from RefSeq and is a predicted model, not a curated record.